Molecule: unclassified non-coding RNA, 2064 nt
Filed under: Hevea brasiliensis (rubber tree)
Lineage: Eukaryota; Viridiplantae; Streptophyta; Magnoliopsida; Malpighiales; Euphorbiaceae
Source: RNAcentral
GCUGGAUUGAAAAAAAUGGUUUACCCACUUUGCUAUCAGUUAUUAUCAGUUUCUGCUUCUACAUUUAAAAUGUCAGACCCCACUAGAUUCAUUUAGGACCAAAAGGAAUAUCGCCAUUGGCAAUCAAGAUUAGGCGUGAUCUUACUAAACAAUUUUAUUCUUAAUCAUAAUCGAACAUUCACGAAAUUUUUGCAAAAGGUCAAAUGGAGCUUUUAUCCGAGUCUAAAAUUUCCUCAAGCUGAGUGCAACCAGCCCAUCCUCAGAUAAAGACGAGUUCGACCAUGAUUGAGCCCGCCCAUCUUUAAGAUCAAAUGUCCCUUUGCCACUCUGGCCCAGUAAGGGAAGGAUCACGACAAUUUUGGCAACCAUCGCCUUGAUCCUAUUACGUCGUUUAUAGUUAAAAAGGAUGGGGAAAGGACUUCGCUCUUUCACAUGCUAUCCAGUGAGUUCCGACUGGAGAAGAAGCUCCCUGCAUCCCUUUAGGUAGUGAACAUGGAUUCAAAUUUCAAGUUUUGACCUAUAAAGAUCAAAGAACUUGAUCCACACACGACCCACAACAACAAAACUAAAAUUUUGAUAGGAACUUAACCGCGGGAAGUAUACCCAUUGUCACAAUUACGGUGGCUGCCAGCAAGUUGUGAGGUUGAUAUGGUAGCCGUCUUAUGCUACACAAAAUUCUCAAAGUAGAGUUUCAUUGACGGUUUGCCGCCUUGCUACCUACAUCUGAUCAUAUUAUUUCUUUUCUGGAUCUUUCGACUGUUGAUCAUUUUGACAGUAAAUCUUAUGAUGGUGCCAGCUUCUCUAGCAAGUUGCCCCUUUCGUGCAUUCAAAGGCCUGCUUGUGACCAAUGACCAUAUUAUCAUCCAUAGAAACUCAAAAAAAUGACAAUUGACAGAGUCAUCCAACUGACAUCAUCUGAUUACCAUGCAGCAAUAAACACACAGCUUCUGUACCUAUCAAGAUCACCAUUGGUGCUGCUGUUAGGGAAAGAAUCAUCUUGGAUAUAUUGAUUGGGAACCAUUACAACUUUUUCUUUAGGUAAAAAUGACAUGUUUUAGUCAUUAAAACUCUAAAUCGGUAGACAACAAUUUCAAAAUGUUUUCUGCAACAUCUGAAAGGUGAAGUUUUCAACCUUGAUGCCAAAUAGACUAUUAGAGGAUGAAGAGCAUAAAAGUCGAAUUAUUAUGCAGCAAGGAAGUCACUUGCAAGCACAAGCUUGCAUAUAACACUCCCAACCAUAACCAAAACCAAACCAAAUAUAGAGAUGGGUAGACACUGAAUAUCAUUCCUGUCUAUUAAGCAAUCUUCAUGGUAAUAUUAUCCAACAUCUAUGUUCUGAUUUCCCUAUUCCCAUCCCACCUAUCAGUUUCUCAAUGGAAUACUUAAGGCAGUCUCCAUUGUCUGGACUAAGAAUGUGAAAAAAAUUUAAAGCUAAACAUGAAUCUCCUAUGACAUGGAAGACAACCAAGAGUAUUUUUCAUUCAACACUAAACCUCAAUUCCAAAAUAGUUGGACAUGGAUACAUGAAUCCUUUUAUUCCCCCCAAAAAGGGUUUAGAUCUUCCAAAGGAUCUGGGGUUAAGUUCAUACUAUUAUUACCAUAAUAUAAUAAUUACAAUACAUACAUAAACAGUCCACACUUUGAACAGCCAGAAGAAAAAGAAAAAAAAUUACCAGUAGCAGAUGAACUAGCAACAUUUCUCACUUGUAGGCACCAGAUAUGAUCAUAUAAGUUGUUAGUGAGACUGCAACUCCACAGCCUUAUUGCAUUUAGACUUCUGUUGUCUGUUGAUAAUUACGGAGCUAAUCCUCGUCUUUCUUGCUCUUGGGCUUGCGGUACUUCUCUUCAAUGAGCUUGGCCAUGAAGAGGCCAGAGGUGGCGAGCUUCUUGAUAUUGGGAACGUCAUAGUUUUGAGCAAUGUAAACCCCGCACACAGUGCCUACUAUGAAGGAGAAACAGCUCCUUAUUAUCCCCAUCGCCUAUGCUAUGCUAAUGUGUAAUUGCUGCUGCAAUCGCCGCCACUGGUUGGAUAUUUAGAGCUGUAAAAUUUUAUAUGAUUGGAGA